This is a non-coding RNA of Labrenzia sp. OB1, 117 nucleotides long. The record is from Rfam. NCBI's taxonomy places the organism in Bacteria, Pseudomonadati, Pseudomonadota, Alphaproteobacteria, Hyphomicrobiales, Stappiaceae.
UGCGUAUUUUGCCCAGGCGGAGCUCGACCGCCCACUGAAGCGAUGAUUGCCUUCAUCGAAGAACACCGAGGUGUGUUUGGGAUCGAGCCGAUUUGCAGGCUGCUGCCGAUUGCCCCA